RNAcentral lists this long non-coding RNA (525 nucleotides) under Terrapene triunguis (Three-toed box turtle). Its description in RNAcentral is "Terrapene carolina triunguis (Three-toed box turtle) lncRNA (ENSTMTG00000000399.1)". Lineage: Eukaryota; Metazoa; Chordata; Testudines; Emydidae. The record is from RNAcentral.
GAGCUCUGUGAGCAGCAUUGGCUGCCUGUGUGUUCCUAGCAGGAUCUGAAGGUACAGGUUUGAACUACAAAAUCUUAAAUGAGUUGAGACCUGGCUAUUUGAGAAAUUGCUUCUCUAUGGAAUGCUGCUGAAGCUGCUAGCAGGAGAAACUUUAAGGCUGGCGCCACCUUGCUUUGAAAGGCUAGGGGUUGUUGGCAAGGUGUUCUCUGCAUGGGGCCCUCAGCAUUGGAAUUCAUUCCCUCACCUUGGUCCAAAGUAGCCCAACUCUAUUAAUCUGCAUGAGCAAAGUCUAUUUCCUCCCACUGGCUUUUGAGAAGGCGAUGCCUCAAGUAAUUUCAGAACACAUUUGUGACACCACGACUAUGGAAAUGGCUAUGAUGUUAGAAAUAAUGGACUAUACCAUCAUGUGGAAGACAGCAACCUAGUAUUGCAGCAGAUUGUUUUAAUUUACACAAAAUGGGUUGUCAACCAGCAAUGGACACCUGUAAACCCAGGCGAUAUGGGAACGGAGCCAGAGAAGGAGGC